Molecule: non-coding RNA, 4579 nt
Organism: Momordica charantia (bitter melon)
Lineage: Eukaryota; Viridiplantae; Streptophyta; Magnoliopsida; Cucurbitales; Cucurbitaceae
Source: RefSeq, a predicted model, not a curated record
AAAACGGCGGCGUUUUCGUGUAGAAAGCAACUCAAUUUUCGGUGAGAAAAAAAAAAGAACAAAAGAUUUCCCCUCCUUUUUUCCGCCCUUUUUCGUUCUGGUUUAUAAAAUGAUCGAAAUCGACGCUGCCAUUUCUGCCACCACCACUUCCUCUGGUUUCCGAUAUGAAACUAUGGAUAGAUUUCGUGCAACCUGUUUCCCGCCAUUGAAUUCGCCUUGAAGGAGACAUUUCGAGAGAACGAAGCCGAUUUCGUUGUUGCUGCUGUCUGAUCAAUCGUCACAGCAGCUCAGCUGCUCGAUAAUGGCAGAACUUCGGAACUCGAAUGGCAGAAUUCGACUGUCAUGAUUGUUCAAUGAAGUCGACCUACUAUACGGGCUUCGUUCAUUGAUGAGGAUGCUGUCUCCAGUUUCCAAUUUGCUGGAAAUAGUAUCGCGUUUAUGCUUCAUCAAGCUACUCGAGCAGUAUGAAGGGCCACGAACAGAAGAAAUUCUCUGCACUUCAACAACUGUUUCUAUGGGAAUGUGUAAGUGUCCAAAAGAAAGUUAUGAAAAGGGAGGAGGAGAUAAGGCAUCGCAUCAACCCUUCUAAUGCCAGGGAGUUCACAAUAAGUUGUUUCGUGGCUUGAAUAGAAAAAAAAUUGUUCUCUAAUGUUGUCGUCUUUUAUUUUUUAUCUUCUUGUCAGUGAUAUAUGAGACAGAGUAAGCAGCUUAACUUCGAAGAGAAAAAGUGGGUGCCUUCUGCGUUUAAUUCCUUCAUCGAUACCUUAAAAAACACAGAAAAGAGAGACAACCUGACUGCUUGCGUCUGUUGUUUAACGAUUUUGAAGAAGAAAGAAGGACAGUUUGACUUAUUAUUGUCAAGCUUCUUAUGAAACAGGAGUCAUUAUUGAUUUCUCUCGUUUUGCAUCAUAGAUGCCAAGAACAGAGGACAUUCUCAACCUUCCGGUGCAAGAUCCUCCAUGCUUGGUGUUUUCUGCUGCUCAUAUCAAGUGGGAAAAAGUAGAAGGUGGUCGUCAAGGUGGUGCUGAUAUUGCUCUAGUCCCAUUUUCUAGAGUUGAAGAUUUCGUUAAAGGAGAAUCUUCCAAUGCAGAUUGUCCUGCUCGCUUCCGCAUUGAAUCAAGAAGGAAGAGAACUGCAGGGAGGGUCAGCAAGCCAAGGGUUGAUGGUUAUCUCGAAUAUAUAUUGUACUGGUGUUCUUACGGUCCAGAAGAUUAUCGAGUAAGUGAAUCAGGUAUUAGGAGUAGCUCAAUCAUCAAACCUGCAUCAGGGAAGGGCAGCAGACCAGGAAGAUGUCACAUGAUGAGAGGCUGCCUCUGCCAUUUCACUGUUAAGCGCUUAUAUGCACGGCCACAUCUUGCUCUCAUCGUCUAUAACCAAAGGAAGCAUGUUGACAAGUCAGGAGCCCCUUGCCAUGGGAUACUUGAUCAUGAUGCUAUUGGAACGAGAGCUAUGUAUGCUCUGAGAAUUUCAGAGGAAUUACGUCAAAAGAUUAUGUCCAUGCUGUAUGUAGGAAUACCUAUUGACAAUAUUGUUCAGCACCAUCUAGAGGUUGUACAGGGGCAUGGGGGACCCCAAAAUCGUGAUGAUUUUCUUUCUCGUAAUGAUGUCCGUAACAUGGAAAGAGUUAUUCAUAGUUCUUCACAUGAGCUACAUACAGAUGAUGAUUGUAGUGUGAAGAUAUGGGCACAACGUCAUAAGAAAAACAUUUUCUUCUUUCAAGAGAGCAGUGACCGUGAGCCUUUUGUCUUGGGCAUACAGACAGAUUGGCAGCUACAAAAGAUGUUGCAUUAUGGCUGUAACAGCUCUGUUGCCUGCCAUUCAACAUUUGGAUCGAAGAAACUACGGUUUCCACUCUGUACUAUACUUGUUUUUGACUCAUCCCAAAAUGCUAUUCCUGUUGCUUGGGUUAUUGCAUCCUCUUUUGUUAAUCAAGACAUUCGGAAAUGGCUUGGAUUGCUAGCUGAAAGACUGCAUGCGAAGGAUCCCAGAUGGAGAAUCGAUACCUUUUUAUUAGAUAAUCCUUUUUUCGAGGCUUCUAUUAUAAGGGAGGCCUUUCAAUGUCAGGUUCUAUUAUGCACAUGGCAUGUUCGUCGCAGUUGGAUUAAGAAUCUUCUUAAUAAGUGUUCUAACUCGGAUGUGCAAAGAGAGAUGCUUAAGCAAUUAGGGCAAAUUUUGUAUUGCACGAGGACUGGGCCAAGUUUUGCAGAUGUGGUUGAAGAGUUUAAGCAAAUAUUUGCUGAUCAAUGUGUCUUUGUUGAUUAUUUCACGAGAAGAUUGUUGCCAGACAUAGUAUUGUGGGUUAAUGGUAUACGGUCGCUCCCUGUUUCCACUUUGGAGGCUAAUGCUGCGAUUGAAGCAUAUCACAUAAGAUUAAAAUCCAAGCUUUUCAAAGAGCAAAGCAACAAUGCCUGGUCAAGAGUUGACUGGCUGAUCCACACUCUUACAACUCAAUUUCACUCCUCAUAUUGGUUAGACCAAUACAGUCUAGAGACUGGAUGUUUUGGAAAUUUCAGAGAUAAAUCCUUCUUAAAUAAUGCAUGGAAUAGGGCACUACAUAUCCCAGAUGUUGACGUUAUGCUGGAUGAGCCAAAUCUUCAGCUUGCAAAAGUAAUGUCUCAGUCAAAAAGAAAUGUGGAAUAUAUAAUUUGGAAUCCUGGUUCAGAGUUCUCAUUAUGUGAUUGUCCUUGUUCAAGGAUGGGAAAUCUCUGUAAACAUGUCAUCAAAGUCUCAAUGUUAUGCAAAAGGCAGCAAGAUGCAUGGCCAUUAUUGGCUGCUCAAGUUUACCAGGAUCGUGUGCUAAACCUUCUGCACAGCCCUGCAGAUAACUCUGUUGUUUUUGACCAUGCCAUUUUACAUGUGACUUGCACUCAACAAGAAGUAAAAGGCUUGGAUAACUUGCCAGAUGGUGGCUUUCUCCAGCCCUUACAUCCUGAUAUUAAUUCCCAAUUAGAACAUAAUGUUCCCUUUUCUCCACAUCACCAAUAAUUUUAUGGUUUUUAAUGAGAACCAUCAUAUGGGCUUUUUGACUGAUGAUGGAAGUCAGCAUAUGAGUUUUUCUGGAGCAUGAUGCAAGCUUCAAUGUAUACUAAAACUCCCCACGUUCAACUCGGGUGGAUCUGAGAGUUUGAGAAGGAUGCAAUACAGCUAAUUGGGCAAUGGGCCAUUAAGGAUGACCACUCUGUCGACGAGUCAUGAGGUGAGGAAGUGUGGAGAGACAAUCAACAACUUUCCUCUUUGGAUUAGUGGGAAACUAGCAAAGCUAAUCUGUGCAGGCUUCCAAAUUGAAGCCAGCUUGAGAGUUGCCUGAUGUGAUAAUCUGCUCCCGAUUGCUCAGCUAGACUGUUUUUCGAGUAGGUUGGAAAAUAUAUCUGAACUUUAGAAGAACGAAUUUGUGACAGAGAAUCAGAACCUGGGAAGGAGCAGAAUGGUAGUACCAUCUUUGUCGACUUCAAAAUUAAUCCAUGAAACUGGUCGUAGCAAGCGUUUCCGAGAGAUCGUAAUUUACAGGCCUGGUCAGAAAUAAUUUACACUGCAAAGUUGAUUUUCCAGUGAAAAAGUUGUAUUGUAACCUGAAAUUCUGCAGCUCGAGAAGCUUGCAGACACAGAGAGCCUUAUUGUGCGCCACAUUGAGGCAGCAAGAGCUCAAUUUAUUGUUUAUCACGACUACUUCAUUCAGUGUACUUGAUAUGUGACCAAAACUUGAUGGUAAAACAUCCAUAGAACUUGUUGGCAAGAAAAAUUACAGAAACUGGUGAGUUUCCAAAAUUGUUGGGCAGUUCAAAAGCGAACAAAUUGCAGUUGAUAAAAAUGGCAUCAAGAUCUUUGUCAAAAAGAUAUCGAGGUACUCACCUUCAAGCUCAUUGAACCAAAAGCUCAAGGUGUUUAAGACUUGGAAAAUUAAGAACAACAUGGGGAAAUGUACCUACAAACUGAUCGUUACUGAUUUUAAGCUCAGAGGAGCUUAAGUCUUUGGCAACUGCUUGGAACUUGAUUGAAAGGCGUUCAUGAAGGUGGACGACUCGCAGACUCGAGCUGCACUUUGCAGUUCUGCUGCCUCUGCUUAGUGUAUGAACCUGUAUGAUAAUUUCUGUGCUAUGAUGAGCCAAACAAGUGUGAGAAAGCUAGGGAGAGGAAAGAAGAUUUGUGAAUCACAAGAACUGAGAGCUUUUGGAAUGAUUUAUGUAGGUUUCAGGGACAACUGAGGGAAACCCAUUACGUUUGUGGGGCUACCAUUCCUGAGCGUCGUCUUUGGACCCAAUUCCAGAACUUCGAAUGGCCGGCAUGCUUUGGACGGUAGAACGGGGAGAGGGAGAGUCGUGCCCAUUCUCGCUCCGGACAUGAACAGGAACAUCAAAAUGAAAGACCGAAGACAUGUACACGAUGGAAUGACAUAUUUCAAAAUACAUGAUCUGAUUUGUUUGAUAGGCUGCCUGCAAAAAUAGUUUACCGACCGCAUAACAAUUCAUUCUUGUGUGUAGCGCGUGGGGCCGAGGUACAAACUCUCACUCCUCCCAUUUGUUGUACUAAAAAAAUGAAUACCAAAUUGAUAUCUAUAGAAAUAUGAAGGUUUAAAAUUUCA